Molecule: transfer RNA, 74 nt
Filed under: Nanobdellota archaeon
Lineage: Archaea; Nanobdellati; Nanobdellota
Description: tRNA-Arg
Rfam family: tRNA
About the family: Transfer RNA (tRNA) molecules are approximately 80 nucleotides in length. Their secondary structure includes four short double-helical elements and three loops (D, anti-codon, and T loops). Further hydrogen bonds mediate the characteristic L-shaped molecular structure. tRNAs have two regions of fundamental functional importance: the anti-codon, which is responsible for specific mRNA codon recognition, and the 3' end, to which the tRNAs corresponding amino acid is attached (by aminoacyl-tRNA synthetases). tRNAs cope with the degeneracy of the genetic code in two manners: having more than one tRNA (with a specific anti-codon) for a particular amino acid; and 'wobble' base-pairing, i.e. permitting non-standard base-pairing at the 3rd anti-codon position.
Source: RNAcentral
GCUCCCGUAGUAUAGCUUGGAUAGUAUACGGCCCUCCGGAGGCUGUGACCAGGGUUCAAAUCCCUGCGGGAGCG